CCCUUAGAUGUCCGGGGCUGCACGCGCGCUACACUGAAGGAAUCAGCGUGCUAAAACCAUUGUCGAAAGGCAUUGGUAAACCCAUUAAAUCCUACGUGAUUGGGAUCGGGAAUUGCAAUUAUUUCCCUUGAACGAGGAAUUCCCAGUAAGUGUGGGUCAUAAGCUCGCGUUGAUUACGUCCCUGCCCUUUGUACACACCGCCCGUCGCUGCCCGGGACUGAGCCGUUUCGAGAAAAGCGGGGACUGCUGCUGUCGGGGCUUUCGGGCCUUGGCUUCGGUGGAAACCGCUUUAAUCGCAGUGGCUUGAACCGGGCAAAAGUCGUAACA
Molecule: ribosomal RNA, 327 nt
Filed under: uncultured eukaryote
Lineage: Eukaryota
Description: partial 18S ribosomal RNA
Rfam family: Eukaryotic small subunit ribosomal RNA
Source: RNAcentral